UACGUAGGGUGCAAGCGUUAUCCGGAAUUAUUGGGCGUAAAGAGCUCGUAGGCGGUUUGUCGCGUCUGCUGUGAAAACUGGAGGCUCAACCUCCAGCCUGCAGUGGGUACGGGCAGACUAGAGUGCGGUAGGGGAGAUUGGAAUUCCUGGUGUAGCGGUGGAAUGCGCAGAUAUCAGGAGGAACACCGAUGGCGAAGGCAGAUCUCUGGGCCGUAACUGACGCCGAGGAGCGAAAGCAUGGGGAGCGAACAGG
Molecule: ribosomal RNA, 253 nt
Filed under: uncultured bacterium
Lineage: Bacteria
Description: partial 16S ribosomal RNA
Rfam family: Bacterial small subunit ribosomal RNA
Source: RNAcentral